UGGGAGGGCAUGUCGGAAACGCUGCUCUUAAUCUGCCCAUCUCCCCUCCAGCCCCCAGCAGCCCAGGAGGAGGGGCUGAGAUAAAGCCACAGGCGGCAGGCAGGAGAUUAAGAGCUGCUGUUUUUAUCGCUGUUCUCACAGAGCCGCCUGGAACGGGGGCGUUAGCAAGCUGGGCGUGGGGGGCGGGGCGUGCGGGGGCACUGGGAGGAUGCUGGCGCCACCCGGCCCUGCAGCCCCGCGGGUCCCUGCCUGGAGCCACUUGUGGGCAGCUGUGACGAGGAGUAAAAGACAAAAAUGAUCCUGGAUGGUGUGCAGGGGCUCGAGUGGCGAUGUGAAGGUGCAGGAGUAUUAAAUGGGACUGUGAUGGCAUUAAAGGCAGGAACCUUCCCCGUGCGCUCACCAUGUUCCCGCCCUCGAUGAAAUGUUUGUCACCCAUUACCCUCAUUGAUCCUCGCGGGGGAAAUUUGGUCACAGAGGUAGACACACAGAGCGGAGAUAAGGAGAAGACGGCCAUGUGAAGACAGAGGGAGAGAUGCUGCCACAAGCCAAGGAAUGCCAAGAAUUGCUAAAACCUGCCAGAGGCUGGGGGAGGCGCGCAAGGGCUUUCCAUAAAGACUUCAGAAGGAGCCUGGCCCCGCGGACACCUUGAUUUCAGACGUCUAGCUUCCAGAAUUGUGAGAGAAUAAACUUCCAUUGUUUUAAGCCACCUGGUUUUGGGUACUUUGUUACGGGGGUGACGGAAACUAAGACAGCGCCUCAUCGUAGUAGAUGCGGUCAGUGCCUGUCCAGCUUCUCCGGGCUGCCCUGGAACUCUUCUGCAGCGUGGUGUACACAGUGGGGGUCUUCACGGGCGCCAGGGUCUCUCUGGCUGCAGGCUUUCUCUGAAUGCAGAAGUCAGCUCAGCUGGGCACAGAGCGGGCUGCAACUGCGCAAGGAUUAAUGCCCCUGGGAGCAGCCCACAGCCAACAAGGGCUGGGAGUCACUGGGUAAACACCCAGCUUCCUCACCCCUGGGUGGGACAGUUUUGAGCUGUGGGACACACAUCUCUCAGAUGUGUCCAGUGGGACUGAGCCCCAUUCCCACAGUGGUAACCUGUUUGUUAACGUUCCCUUAAUGGGCGUCCUCCCAUCCUAUCUCCCUUCCUUACUGUCCUGCUGGUGCUUCCUGGGAUCAGCUCCUAAAUCGACAACUUGUAUCGUCUCGGGUCUCAUCUUAGCUCAGCUUUCCGGGAGACCCAUAGAACGACACUCAAAGGGCAGCUGCUUUCUCUUCCUGGUCACAAAGAGAAGGUCAGGUGUUGGCAUCUUCGAGCUAAAUGGACCAGUAGCUACUCCUCGACCACGUGGUAAAUUUUGAAGACCAUGAAGGCCCUCAAAAACUGACACAGCAUCUCAAGGAGAAGAUGACAUCGGUGACAAUGAAGGUGGAGAAAAUAGUAUUAAGCAGAAUUCUUGGGCACAGGCCUGGGGAAGGCAGCCAGUCUGGUGGGACUGCUCCCCCAAAUAAUAGGGAAGACAGGUGGUUACUCCCAGGGGCCCACUUGAGGUGGGAGUCAUGAGCUGGGAGCCUGGGCUCUUGGAAGGCAGCAGAGGCAAGGGGACAGGUGACAGAAGGCUGGGCUGUGGACACAGUGAUCCCCCCCAAAGACUCCUCUUUAAGUCUUCCUGAAAAUCAUGAAACCACGAAAUCCUCGUAUGUGACAGGAUUUCUUGUGAAACAAGUGAUGGGGCCAAGGUCCAUGCUCAGUCCACACUGAACGGGCACAGUAGACUCAGGAGUGGGGAAGUAAGGUGGAUAGUCUCCUGAAAUUGUGCAGAGGGGCUGGGAACUGCGCAGGCUGGGAUACAGGGCUCUGAGCCAAGUUUACCCAAAUCCCAAGGGAUAGAGUAGCCUGGAGCACACACUGGUCAUUUGUGACUGCCCAUCACCCAGGAGCCCUCUCCCUACAUUCUGGGUAAUUUCCCACAUUUUGAGUCCUGCCUUAAUCAAGACAGAAGGAAGAAUAAACACAUUGUUAGAUUCCCUUGCAUUCUGGAACAUAACUUGCAGAGUUCUGCAAAGCCGAUGCAUCCGUGGGAGCCUAGGGUUCAGAACUGAGCGCCAUGAGGAAGUGGCCGCACACUGGGAACCUGUCCUCCUGGCAAGCACGGUGACCUCAGGGGCAGCAGUGUGGAGCCCCUGGCAUUGGUUCUGAGUCUGAGGAGCUUCUGGCAAUGACAGGAGAGGGAUGUUUUCUCAGGGGAAGUCCCUACGGUGUGGACAUUGCUCCUGGUGGCAAUGCUUCAGAGUGGCCUUCCUUAUCCCUCCCAGGGAUUCUGGGAGCCAUCUGAUCCCCUCAAAUGAAUUCUUUUCUGCUUAAGGCAGCCUGAGUGGAUUCUGGUAUUUGCCCCUAACAACCCUCUCCUCUACGGGCCUGAGCGACUUCUGGGUUUCAUCAAUAAUAGCUAACCUUUCCUAGGGGGUUACUGGGAGACCGGCUGUGCCUGAUGCCCUAGACGUGAGUUAUUUCUGUAAAUCAUCCCAACACCCAUAUGGGAUGGAGUGGGGAACUGAUGGGAAACUGAGAGGCAGACUCAGGUCUGUUUGGGUCCAAAACUUGUGUUUUCCACCUUCUCGGGACCAUCGGAUCUCCAACAUUCCUCAUGGGCCACAACAAGCGGCGAACACCUACGUUAUUGUAUGUACAAGAGCCCAGGUGAAAAUUACCCUCCCUCUUUUUGCCCCCCUUUUCCAUUCCCUGCCCUCAGGACGAAUUCCUUCUGCUAAAAGAAAAGGAAGCCUGGGUCCUGGGCCUCGUGCAUCAAUUGUGGGAAGGAGGAGGGUUGGAAGUGGGGAGGAGGUUGCUCCUGGAGAAUCUUCAUUUAGCUGAGUAGAAAUAAUGUCAAAUGAAGUCCUGCUAUCCCAUAUGAAUCCCCCUUCCCCAACACCCCCCAAAUAGGCCAUAAUCAAUACUCCGGUGGUCCCAUAGAGCGAGCGUAGAAGCGGUUGUUUCUGAACUCUUUCUGAACCGGCAGUCCUGCAGACACACUGAAGAUGAUGUCAAUUUUUAGAUACACCAGCAAUUUAACAAUAGCAUGCAGAGGAUAAACAAAAAGAAAUAAUCGCUAACAUAUGCUGAGGGCCUACGACCUGCCAAGCGCUAUGCUCAAACUCUCUUUCAUUUAUUGUCGAUUUGGUCCUAUUAUUAAUAGCCUCGAUUGACAGAUGAGGCACCUGAGGCCUCCAGAAGGGGUGUGGUUUGCUCAGGGCCACAUGGCGGGAAACAGCAGAGCACGGAGUGUGACUCCACAGCCCGGACUGUGGCUUGCUCCUAACCCUCAUUCUGGAACAUCUCCCAAGAAAUACCACCUUCCCAUUGAUUUUAAGUCACAUCUCCAUUUCCGAAACGUUACCAAAUGAAGAAGCGCGUCUCAGAGGUGAGGAAACACAGAAGCUCCCAGCUCAUGAGGAGCCUUGGGAAGCUUCCCAUAAGUCACCACCCCUCCCCUCCCCCUUCCUGAGAGGAAGGAGGCAGGAUGAGAGCAGAGCCGCAUCCGUCUCCAUCUCCCUCUGAGCUACUGCUCGUUUGGACUGCAUCGACCCUCGUGAUGAAUGCCGGCGGCUGGUGUCUCCACCGGACUGGACCCUGCCGUUCAAUGCAGAAGUUUUCCUUGGGAGAUGCAGUUCCCGGGUUCUGCGCUGUGUCUAAACCCCCAGAAAGGCUCGUCAAGGGGCUGAAUCGCACUCCCCUUCUCUUUUAAUUAUUCAGGCCUUGACACGCUGACUGGGAAUACAUCACUCAGAAUACAUGGCUGGUAAGAUUAAAUAUUAGAGGAAACUCUUUUAAUUAAUUUUUAAUGUGUUCUUUAGAACAAUUCUUCAUACCUAACCACACACUGAAACAGAGUACUUAAAAGAAAAAUUAACGUUUAGGAUCUCAGAGGCCUGUGGGUCUGGACAGCCCCUAUUUGGGUUGUCUCUGAACUACAUACAUAUCAGGAUGUACUGGGGAUGACAUCCAUGGCAUAAAAGUGCGGUGACCACAUGUCCGGUUUUAUUGGACAAUCCUAGUUUGUGCCUGUUGUACCAGUGUACUUAUUAAUAGGUGCCCCCUUUUCCUUGCCAUAGAAUUUCAGUUUGGAUGUUAAAUUAUGUGAUCACCCUACUUAAAGGCCACCACUCUCCCUUCCCUUGCCAGUGACAGACAUCACUAGUUGAUCACGGCACCAUGUCCUUGCUGAUUCCAUACGCAUCCUUUAAGGCAUCUCAAUACAACCUUCCAGCCAGCCACUCAAAGCCAUUAAAGUUGGCAGCAAGAUGAACCCUGUUUUUCUUUGCUGAGAAAGCAGUUUACAUCAAAUCCUUAUAUUUUUAUUUCAUCUUUAUCUUUAAACCACUUUUCCAUUCAGGCUCUUCAUUUUGUGCCUUGCUUUUCAGUGGGAGCCCUGUUGCCAUUUCCUGUAGGGCAAUUCAUUGUGGGUGGAUAUCUCAAGCAUUAUAGGACAUUUAAUACAUUCAGUAUCCCGGGCCCCAUGGACGUUAAAUGUCAGUAGCACAAUCUCAUCCACCCCCCAAACCUGGUCACUGUGACAAACAAAAAUAUGCCCCCAAUGAACACAUACUUCCAGAACUGCCCUGGGGAGACACCACUACCCCGAGUUUGAAAUAAAUGAAGGUAUUAAGAACCAGAGUAGGCCAAAGAUUGUUGCUUUGAUUAUCUGUUGUUGCCUGGUAACCCCCAUAUCUCCCUCCCUCCCAAGAGUUCAUUGGCUUAAAACAACAACAACUUGUUUUUUAAAAUUUGCUCACAGUUUUACAAUUUUGGCUUGAUGGAGCAGCUCAGCUGGGGCAAGAAAGUUCCCCCACACAGCAGAGAGAUUGGUGCUGGCCGUCCGCUGCAAGCCCGGCGAGGGCUGAGCCUGGCCUUCUAGUUCUCCAUCCUGUGGGCCUUGUCACAGGCUGCUUGGGCUUCCUUGUAGCAUGGUGGCUAGGUUUCAAAAGGGAGGAAGCAGAAGCUGCCAGUUCUCUUAAAGGUUAGGCCUGGAACUGGCGUGAAGCUACGUCUUCCCUAUUGUACUGGUCAGAGCAGUCACAGGCCCAGCCCAGAAUCAGGGGACGAAGGAAAUAGACCCCACUUCUCAGUGGGAGGAGUGACAAAGGAUUUUAAUUCACCACAUGUUCCUUCAUAUUAUCUCAUCUUGAGAAUUGAGAUAAUCUUAAAAGGUAGAAUGGGCAUGAAUUUCCCCACUUUACAUGGGGUGCGGCUGAGGCUCAGAGGGUUGGUGUGGCUUGUCCAUAGCAGAUAGGUAGUUCAUAAGCUUGGACUUGGGACAGAGGAAAGGGUGGUGACAAGCUCUGAAGGCUUCCUGUGAUUUCCUUGGAACUAGUGUAGUGAGAACCAAACCAGACAGAGUCAGAGGGUGUCACUCGGGUGAGGACCGUUUCUCAGAAGCGUCACUCUGACAGGGCCCUUUGCUGUGUUAGACACAUCAAUCGUGCCCGGGUUCCUGCACAGCCCCAGAGCCUCUGUUGUUUACUCAUUCAUCACAUAUUUAUUGAACAUCACCAGGGGCCAGACACGGUGCUAGACCCACAGGAAGGCAAGGUGAAUGAGACAGAGAUGGCCCUGGUAUCCCCACAGUCUCGAGGGGAGACGACAGUGAUGUAAUUGCCCAUGGGAGGGACCUACAGCUGUAAGAAGUGCUAUGAAGAGAGAGUACAGGGUGCCAUGGGCAUGCAUCAGAUGGGAGCUGACCUGCAGCGUGUCAGGGAAGGUGUCCCCAAGGAAGUGGCACCUCCGCUAAGACCUGAAGGAUGGGGGCAAAUAAGGAGGCAAAGAGAGAGGGCAGGGAAGGUGUUCUAGGCAGCUCCUAUCUAUCUGCUGUGGUGGCGCUCUGCAAGGAACCCAAGGAAGCCAGGUGGCGGAAUCAGAGAGUGGUGUGAGAGAGGGCUAUGGAGGAAGGAAGGGACCUGAGUGGGCAGGACCUCGUGGGCCAAUGAAAGAUGCUCUCCUGCUUGUUAUUCUUGUGUGAUUCUGAUAACAAUGGGAAAGCAUCUUGUUUUGGAAAGAUUGCUCCAGCUGUCACUUGGAGAAUCGAUUGGAGGGACAGAAGUGCAUUUGGGGAGAGCGGGUGGCUCAGCUCCUGCUGAGAAAGCAGCCUGAGACAGUGUGAGCCUGCCAACAAGGCCAUUUUUCCACACACUGGCCACAGUGACUACCCCCCACCCCCACCUCUGCCCCGCUAUUUGACUUGCAAUGAUUGAGAUGGCAGCUCUGCUCUGUGAUAUUAGCAGAGGCUCCCCUGUUCCUAGGGUGUUGCCCUUCUCCACACGGUCCAACAUGCACAGCCAGGAGCACAGUGAGGUGCCUGGGGAGCAAAGGUUAACAAAGCAUUCAUUCUUGGUCUGCAUCGUGCAACCCUGAAAGUAAGCACCUCCUUAACUUUUGCACCCAGCAUGCUUCCCUCACCUCCCUCUAGUCCUUGCCAGGCCACCAUGGCUUAUCUCCAAACUCACAUUGUGCGGGCAGGAAAGGGGGGCCGGGGGGGCGUGCCCCUUCCUUGUAAGGGCAUGACCUGCAGUUGGCCAUAUCACUUCCCACACAUUCCAUUGGCCAGAAAGGAGUCACUGCCCCGUGUAGCUGCCAGGAAAGCCACGCGUGUCCUCUCGAUCCUGGGCAGCCGGGUUCCUGGCUAACGUUUUGGAGUUCAGCAGCUGUAGAAGGGGAACAGAUAGCCCUGAGGCACACCUCAGACCCAGAGGCUGUGCAGCCCGCUGGUUAGAGAAGGGAGGUGAACGUCAAGGCCUCCCCGGCUGGACUCCCAUCCCAGUCCUGCCAGCUCUUGGCUGAGUGGCCUUGGGCAAGUUGUUUAAAUUCUAAGCCUCCACUCUUUGUCUGUGGAAUGUGGAUUGCGAUGGGACUUAAUGCACAGAGGACUAGGAAAAGUUGCUUCUGGUUAUUAAAUGUUGACAGUUUCCCAAGCACAGGCUGAGAGAGAGCCAGGAGCUCACCUAGUCAGCUCCGGCACUUUACCAGGGAGGAUGCUGGGGCUCAGAGAGAGGGGGCUUGCCAAGAUGGCACAUGAAUGGAGGGUGGGGAACUGGACCCCCAGCUCCCGGGGCACCUCGCUUUCCUGAACGCCCAUUCUCUCCGCAGCUCCUGUAUGGAGCAGCCCCAACAAACUCCUCCAGAGGGACAGGGCGCUCCGGCACAUGGCAUUCCUGUGGGAAAUGAGUGGGCUUUCCGUCCCGCUUAGAGGUGGGUGGGGACAGACUGGGGAGGAGUUAAGAGGGACACUUGGAGACUUCUGGCUCCAGCUGAGUUCAGAGGUAGCUCUCCCCUCCUCCUUCCCCGGCUUGUUCUCCUCCCUUCGUCUUGUUUUCCUCCCUUCGUCGCUCCUCCUCCUUUGCCUCUUCUCCCCCUCCUCUCCCUCCUCCACCUUCCUCUCCCCUCUUCAGGAUUCUCUUUCUACUUCUCUCCCCUGCUCCCUCCCCCAUGUGUCCUUUGGUCCCUCCCUGGCAUUGGUGACAUCUGAGGAAUGACCUGUGAUGGAAAGCCCCCAGCAUAGCGCCUUGAGCAAGAAGAGCCCUGUACCUCCCGCAACGCGGCGCCCGCUCCCACCUCCCCAUCAGCACCCAGACCCAGGGCCGGCUUAUCGCAGGGCCCUCGGGCCUCAGGUUUUCCAUGGGCCCCUGCUCUGGGCAAUGCUCCCCCCCCUUUUCCUCGUCACCCUCCAUUCCCUCGUGUUCCUUUUCCUCUCCACAUCCUUUACCCCUUGCCAAGAACCUCUCUGGUGAGAAGAUCCGUACAGGGAAACCCAGGAUGUUGGAGAACUGGGGAAUUUAAUACAGAGCUGUCUCAGGCUCCAUCCUGGAUCCCAUUUAUGUUCUUUGAGAGAGUAAAUAUUGCAAAUUCUCUUUGGAUUUUGCUUUGCAUGCAGCCCCAGGGGCUGGGGGUGGGGUGGGUAGGGGGGCAGGGAAGUGAACCUGGUUUCAAAGGGAAGAUCCUCCCUCCCUCCCCCCACCUCCUCCCUCCCCCUCCCUUCUCCUUCUCUCCUCAUGGGGUUCCUCCCUUCCCUCCCUUCCUCCCCCUACUUCCUCCUUCCCUCCUCAUGGGGUUCCUCCCUGCCCCCCUCCCUCCCCCACUUCCUCCUUCCCUUCCUCAUGGGACCAUGCGACUCCUUCCUCCCCUCCCUCCUUUCUUCCCUCCAUCCUUCCUCCCUCCCUCUUUCUUUCCUUCUUUCCUUCCUCUCCCUUCCACUGCCCUCCACUAUCUCCUUUUUACUUCUUCCCAGUAGAGCAGCUUGCUUGCCUUUUAGUUUUCUUUCUUCCCUUCCUUUUUCAAAAUGAAACAUACUAGCAGACAUUGUGCGGCCCGCACCAUGUUAAGCGCCCUGAAUGUCUUGACACGUCUAACCCUCUUCAGAAUCCUGUGAGGGGGUACUAUUAAUAUGCUCAUUUUGUAGAUGAAGAAACUGAGGUGCAGGGAGCUCACGUCACUUGCCCAGGGUCACACAGCUAGGAACUGACGGAGCUGGCAUUUGAGUCCAGGCAGGCCAGCUUUCCUCCACACCCCCUCCCCCAGGGCUGCCCUCCAUCCACGCUCUCAGAGCAGAGAACGCCCCUCCAGCUUUCUCCUACUCCUGGCCCCCCCCCCCCUUUGGUGUCUCCCUGUGGCAUCUCACGUACCAUGAUGAUUUCUGACCACCCCUCCUUUUGCCCCUGCCUGAUCUGGUGCUCCUUAGGGGCCGGUCUGGGGCCACAGUUGUCUUGUGUCGGCUCUCAGAGCUUUGGGCAGAGCAAGUGGCUCAUCUGUAGAAAUGAGAAAGACGCCAAAGGAAGCCAGUCCUCGCCAAGGCCUUGAGUGACAGAAAUUUCAGGUCAGGGUCAAUCCCCGCAUGCUCCAUGGAAGGACUAAGGAGAAGAAUGAAGAAUAGGAGGAAGACGGACGUCAUAGGGCAUCAGUCAGGGCCAGCAGCCGACCACCAAUAGAGCUAUUAAGUAUGUGCAAUGAGGCCCGUCCGAGUUCAGCUGUGCUGUGAGUGUAAAAUACACACUGCUUUUGAAGACUAGGUUGGGAGAAAAGAACGUAAAAUAACUUUAACUCAUUAAUAACCUUUUGUAUUGAUUAUUUGACAAAAUAGCACUUUGGAUAUAUUAGGUUAAAUAAAAUAUAGUAAAAUGAAUUCCAGCUGUUUCUUUUUACCUUUUAU
Molecule: long non-coding RNA, 9191 nt
Organism: Equus caballus (horse)
Lineage: Eukaryota; Metazoa; Chordata; Mammalia; Perissodactyla; Equidae
Source: Ensembl